Molecule: long non-coding RNA, 852 nt
Organism: Chrysoperla carnea
Lineage: Eukaryota; Metazoa; Arthropoda; Insecta; Neuroptera; Chrysopidae
Exons: 3
Source: RefSeq, a predicted model, not a curated record
AAUAUCACAGUCAAACAUCAGGCUACAUAACCUCUUCUGUGCUAUGUUUUUAUUAAUUAAGUAAAUCUCCAACAACGAUAUUAUACGGAUGGGGUGGAGAAAAUAUGAUAAAUAAAACAAUACCUUAAUUAUCCAGGCAAAACCACCGCAGGAUAACCGAUACACGACCAAAAACAAACAACACCAGCCGUUGAUGAAAUGUCCAGAGUACAUUAUUGACUGCAAGAUUUCCAGUUUCUCCACGAUAGUAUAAUUAUCGAUGUAAUAUUAAAACGUGCUCGCGUUGCGGGCACGAACGUGUAUAUUAUUAAUUUUUAAAUAAAUUUUCUAUUCGAUGUGUACCCUUCAAUGGUGAUUUGUUUAAGAGCAAUUCCGUCGUUGAUUAUCCCAAUCCAUGAAUUGUCGAUGUAAUAUUAAAAACGUGCUCGCGUUGCGGGCACAAACGUGUAAAAUUAUUAAUUUUAAUAAAAUGUUUAUUCGAAGUGUAUCCUUCAAGGGUGAUUUGUUUAAGAGAGCUCAUUUUUAAAUUGUUUUUGGCUUUUUUACUCGGUUCUGUAUUCCUACGCGAACUACGUUGUUUUUCGUUUGUUAAAUUUUAAUAAUUAUUGCGCAUGGUGGCUAUUCACACGUUAGCGUGUACUAACGUCCGUUCACACGCUAGCGUGAUUUUAAUUCAACUUUUUUAAUUGAAUGAUUUUUCUUUAUUUUUUUAUUUUGUGUGUGUGUUUAGAUUUAGAUAGGGUUUUUCUGUCCCCAUUCGUAUAAUGAUUUUGAUCGCGCUUAUUACUAUAAUUUGACUGAUUUUUAAUUACUGUCAACCAAACCUACAAUCAAAAUACUUUGAACCUUAUU